UUUCUUUGCUGGCGACCGGCGCACGGGUGAGUAACACGUAUCCAACCUGCCCUUUACUCGAGGAUAGCCUUUCGAAAGAAAGAUUAAUACCCGAUAGCAUAAUGAUUCCGCAUGGUUUCAUUAUUAAAGGAUUCCGGUAAAGGAUGGGGAUGCGUUCCAUUAGGUUGUUGGUGAGGUAACGGCCCACCAAGCCUUCGAUGGAUAGGGGUUCUGAGAGGAAGGUCCCCCACAUUGGAACUGAGACACGGUCCAA
This 253-nucleotide ribosomal RNA is filed under the name uncultured bacterium. Its description in RNAcentral is "partial 16S ribosomal RNA". It matches the Rfam family "Bacterial small subunit ribosomal RNA", at positions 80 to 334 of the family's 1533-position model. The record is from RNAcentral.